Molecule: ribosomal RNA, 1156 nt
Filed under: Morganella morganii
Lineage: Bacteria; Pseudomonadati; Pseudomonadota; Gammaproteobacteria; Enterobacterales; Morganellaceae
Description: bacterial SSU rRNA
Rfam family: Bacterial small subunit ribosomal RNA
Source: RNAcentral
GGGGCUUACACAUGCAAGUCGGGCGGUAACAGGGAGAAGCUUGCUUCUCUGCUGACGAGCGGCGGACGGGUGAGUAAUGUAUGGGGAUCUGCCUGAUGGCGGGGGAUAACUACUGGAAACGGUAGCUAAUACCGCAUAAUGUCUACGGACCAAAGCGGGGGACCUUCGGGCCUCGCGCCAUCAGAUGAACCCAUAUGGGAUUAGCUUGUAGGUGAGGUAACGGCUCACCUAGGCGACGAUCCCUAGCUGGUCUGAGAGGAUGAUCAGCCACACUGGGACUGAGACACGGCCCAGACUCCUACGGGAGGCAGCAGUGGGGAAUAUUGCACAAUGGGCGCAAGCCUGAUGCAGCCAUGCCGCGUGUAUGAAGAAGGCCUUCGGGUUGUAAAGUACUUUCAGUCGGGAGGAAGGUGGUAAGGUUAAUAACCUUAUCAAUUGACGUUACCGACAGAAGAAGCACCGGCUAACUCCGUGCCAGCAGCCGCGGUAAUACGGAGGGUGCAAGCGUUAAUCGGAAUUACUGGGCGUAAAGCGCACGCAGGCGGUUGAUUGAGUCAGAUGUGAAAUCCCCGGGCUUAACCCGGGAAUUGCAUCUGAUACUGGUCAGCUAGAGUCUUGUAGAGGGGGGUAGAAUUCCAUGUGUAGCGGUGAAAUGCGUAGAGAUGUGGAGGAAUACCGGUGGCGAAGGCGGCCCCCUGGACAAAGACUGACGCUCAGGUGCGAAAGCGUGUGGAGCAGACAGGAUUAGAUACCCUGGUAGUCCACGCUGUAAACGAUGUCGACUUGGAGGUUGUGCCCUUGAGGCGUGGCUUCCGGAGCUAACGCGUUAAGUCGACCGCCUGGAGAGUACGGCCGCAAGGUUAAGACUCAAAUGAAUUGACGGGGGCCCGCACAAGCGGUGGAGCAUGUGGUUUAAUUCGAUGCAACGCGGAGAACCUUACCUACUCUUGACAUCCGGAGAACUUAUCAAAGAUGCUUUGGUGCCUUCGGGAACUCUUAGACAGGGCUGCAUGGCUGUCGUCACCUCGUGUUGGAAAUGUUGGGUUAACUCCCGGACCAACGCAACCCUUAUCCUUUGUGCCACCGCUGAUGCCGGAACUCAAAGAAACUGCCGUGAUAACCCGAAGAAGGGGGGGAUGACGUCCAUCAUCAGGGC